RNAcentral lists this ribosomal RNA (236 nucleotides) under uncultured bacterium. Its description in RNAcentral is "partial 16S ribosomal RNA". It matches the Rfam family "Bacterial small subunit ribosomal RNA", at positions 96 to 334 of the family's 1533-position model. The record is from RNAcentral.
UGGCGGACGGGUGAGUAACGCGUGGGUAACCUGCCUCAUACAGGGGAUAACAGUUAGAAAUGACUGCUAAUACCGCAUAAGACCACAGCACCGCAUGGUGUAGGGGUAAAACUCCGGUGGUAUGAGAUGGACCCGCGUCUGAUUAGGUAGUUGGUGGGGUAACGGCCUACCAAGCCGACGAUCAGUAGCCGACCUGAGAGGGUGACCGGCCACAUUGGGACUGAGACACGGCCCAA